Molecule: ribosomal RNA, 424 nt
Filed under: uncultured eukaryote
Lineage: Eukaryota
Description: bacterial SSU rRNA
Rfam family: Eukaryotic small subunit ribosomal RNA
Source: RNAcentral
CAAUAGCGUAUACUAACGUUGUUGCAGUUAAAAGCUCGUAGUUGGAUUUCUGUUGCGGUGAGUCGGCCGGCUCUUCGGAGUUGUAGCUAGAUUUCAUUGCAGCAUCUUGUCGUAAUCACCACUGGCAUUAAUUUGUUGGUGUGUGGGACCGACUCGUUUACUUUGAGAAAAUCAGAAUGUUCAAAGUGGGCUAUCGCCUUGAAUGUAUUAGCAUGGAAUAAUGAUAUAGGACUUUUGGUUCUAUUUUGUUGGCGUUCGAGAACCAAAGUAAUGAUUGAUAGGGACGGUUGGGGGCGUCAGUAUUCUGUAGCGAGAGGUGAAAUUCUUGGACCUACGGAAGACUAACAGCUGCGAAAGCGUUCGCCUAGGACGUUCUCUUUAAUCAAGAACGAAGGUUGGGGGAUCGAAGACGAUCAGAUACCGU